Molecule: long non-coding RNA, 316 nt
Filed under: Malus domestica (apple)
Lineage: Eukaryota; Viridiplantae; Streptophyta; Magnoliopsida; Rosales; Rosaceae
Description: long non-coding RNA (MDOM_LNC010632)
Source: RNAcentral
UGUCACUCACAAACAACCCUUUGGUCUUGAAGUCGAAGAGAUACAAGUCCCAAAAGGGUUUAGGGUUUUGCUCAAAAAUGGCAUAUCAUUGGCCAAGCCUGGCUUAUGCCUUAGCUAUAUGCUUGAUAGCCACCAAUGUAGCAGCUAGUUAUGACAAGCCUUAUGUUUCUUCAUCUCCACCAGUACCUGCAUCUUCAUACCUACCACCCUAUUUCUACAAGUCAUCCGCACCGCCACAUUAUCCUCAAGAAACACUAUCUUACUACUACAAAUCACCACCUCAUCCAUAACGAUCAUCUCCACUUCCCUAUAUUUA